GUAGGGUCCAAGCGUUAAUCGGGAAUUACUGGGCGUAAAGCGUGCGCAGGCGGUUGUGCAAGACCGAUGUGAAAUACCCCCGGGGCGUUAACCUGGGAAUUGCAUUGGUGACUGCACGGCUAGAGUGUGUCAGACGGGGGGGUAGAAUUCCACGUGUAGCAGUGAAAUGCGUAGAGAUGUGGAGGAAUACCGAUGGCGAAGGCAGACCCCCCUGGGAUAACACUGACGCUCAUGCACGAAAGCGUGGGGAGCAAACAGGAUUAGAUACCCUGGUAGUCCACGCCCUAAACGAUGUCAACUAGUUGUUGGGGAUUCAUUUCCUUAGUAACGUAGCUAACGCGUGAAGUUGACCGCCUGGGGAGUACGGUCGCAAGAUUA
Molecule: ribosomal RNA, 378 nt
Filed under: uncultured organism
Description: partial 16S ribosomal RNA
Rfam family: Bacterial small subunit ribosomal RNA
Source: RNAcentral